Molecule: ribosomal RNA, 458 nt
Filed under: uncultured bacterium
Lineage: Bacteria
Description: SSU rRNA
Rfam family: Bacterial small subunit ribosomal RNA
Source: RNAcentral
AGAAUCAACGCUGGCGGCGUGCCUAACACAUGCAAGUCGCACGAGAAAGGGACUUCGGUCCUGAGUACAGUGGCGCACGGGUGAGUAACACGUGAAUAAUCUACCUCCGAGUGGGGAAUAACUGAGAGAAAUCUUAGCUAAUACCGCAUAACACUUACGAGUCAAAGCAGCAAUGCGCUUGGAGAGGAGUUCGCGGCAGAUUAGUUAGUUGGCGGGGUAAUGGCCCACCAAGACGAUGAUCUGUAUCCGGCCUGAGAGGGCGCACGGACACACUGGAACUGAAACACGGUCCAGACUCCUACGGGAGGCAGCAGUGGGGAAUUUUGCGCAAUGGGGGAAACCCUGACGCAGCAACGCCGCGUGGAGGAUGAAAUCCCUUGGGAUGUAAACUCCUUUCGAUCGGGAAGAUAAUGACGGUACCGAGAGAAGAAGCCCGGCUAACUUCGUGCCAGCAGCCG